Daucus carota subsp. sativus is the source of this 600-nucleotide long non-coding RNA. RefSeq lists it as uncharacterized. The record is from RefSeq and is a predicted model, not a curated record. The transcript has 3 exons. NCBI's taxonomy places the organism in Eukaryota, Viridiplantae, Streptophyta, Magnoliopsida, Apiales, Apiaceae.
UUAAACUCGGCAAUUAGGGCUUAAUGUUAAACCUAGUUCCAUUUUCGUUGUGUAUCACGAGUUUCUGAAGAUGAUUCAUAAGCUGGAUUACAAAGAAUUCAAUCUCAAUCACAAUCAUGAGCACAAUUUAAGUGUUGAUUUGGCAUCGAUUGCUUUGAUGACCGCCGGAAGCUUGAUGUACGUUCUCGUCCACGGUUUUAUCCACCGUUUUUUCUCCGGAUCGGAUGCUCGACGUGCUGAUGGCCUCCAUCUCCUGGUUCCGCCGCCGCCGCCACGAGAAUUGCCGCCGGUAACGAGAUCGGGAAACCGAGUAUUCUUCGUUCAGUUUCCGGCUCCCACUGCAUCCUCUCGUCGCUACACCAUCUGAAUCCGCGAUUAGGAUUUGUUCGUAUUACAGCGAUUGAAGUUCUUCUGAUUAGGCGUAUGUUGUGUAGAUAUGUGUUGCGUACUCGAUUAUGUUGUGUAGAUAUGUGUUUGUUCAUAUUUCUGUUAUGUUGAUUUUGUUCCACUCGUCGCUACAGCUUCUGAAUCCGUCAUUAGGAUUUGUUCGUAUUACGUACAGCUUUUGAAGUUCCUGUGAUUAGGCGUAUGUUGUGUGGA